Oreochromis niloticus (Nile tilapia) is the source of this 1641-nucleotide RNA transcript. RefSeq lists it as uncharacterized. Lineage: Eukaryota; Metazoa; Chordata; Actinopteri; Cichliformes; Cichlidae. The record is from RefSeq and is a predicted model, not a curated record. The transcript has 4 exons.
CGAGACAUUAUGUCCACACAAGUCAAAUGGAUUUGGGUUUAAACUGUGCUUUUGGUAAAAUGGUUACAAAACACACAGAUUAGUAUCUAAAUCUAACUCGGAGCAAUAUAAGAAAUGUUUUAGUUUACUAUUAAAAUCGUAAACUAAAACAUUUCUUAUAUUUGAGGAAGUGGAAUGGAUUGCUAGCUAAAAUCGACAAACAUCAUGAGUCCCUGUAUCUGCAUCCAGACUGACAGCGCUGUCUUUGCCUUCUGUCAACAGCUGCUGAGGUAGUUUAGAUUCACAACACUGAAAAAACCUUACGAGAACUUUCGAGAGGUCACUAAUGCUUUUAAGUAUUAAACAGUUCAUAAAUUAUAAUAUUAAUCUUAGCCGUUUAACUACUAGCAAUUACAUCAGCGUGAAUUAAGGUAGCGGCUAUGGCUAAACUUUAAUGUGAACGCUAGGUAGCAAGCGUUAUCAGUCCUGCAGAUCUGUAACAAUAAUAAACAGCGUGAAUUUGACAAAAUAACCAAAUUGUUUAGCUAAAAAGUGUUAUGUUUCUCUUGAAGUCAAAGAUUGAAGCUGAUAAAAGCCUACCAGCAAGUAACGUUGGCAGCCUACCUUAACAACUCUGAUGAGCAACGACAUAUGGAGGACUCGCAUACCUUGGUGGAUCCCUUGUUAGCCACCCUUUGGUCAGUGCCAUUUUACAUGCAGCCAGCAGCACAGCAAUCCCAAAAUAUAUGGUGUGCUGCUUCAUAGCCACAGUUCCUCCAAUAUUCGAAGCCUCCAUCAUCAUAGUGUGCUGCAGUAAUAAAAAAAUGGGAACCAGUACACCACAGAUGGCUUCCUGAACCCUGAAACCCCAGUGUCCUCUGGUCAACACCUGUCUGCAGCACGCCGGCCAAGCCAGAGGUUUUCUGAUGUACAGCAGAAUGUGUGUUGUGUUGUAAAAAAAACUACAAGUGCCCAGGAUAAAACCAGAGAAUGUCAGAGACAGUACUGAGAGAGCUGGAGAGAAGCCCGCUGCCUCCAGUGGGAUCAGCAUGUCGUGGGCUUCCUUCCUGAGUGUGACAGAGCUGCACAGACUCUCUCAGAAAUGUCUCGCUCCAGAAAAAGGCUCUUUGUCCUGUCUGACUCCAGCCAGCACAGGACAAGGAGCAAACAAGCAUGUUUGGAAGUAGGAGUGUGAACACAGACAGAGAGAGUGUGUUUUGAGGAAAGAGACUGUAUGUGAUUGUGUCUAUAAACGGAGAUAUUGUGGAAUCUUGUUUUAUUGUUUGGCUGUUUGGCUGCUUGUGCCAAUGUUGAGAAAGUGUCUGUGUGCUGAGAAGCUUUUAUUUCGUGUUUAUGUGUAGUCCGAUUGCUGCAGAGGACAGAGAUGAGAUGAGAGAAGCACGAGGAGCAGCCAUGUGCUCUACAGAAGCAGAGAAAUGCCUUUGACAAGGAUACAGCUGCAUCAUAGUAUGGCGGUGGCAUAACACGAUGCUGCAUCUCAGCGCUUUUGAACGACUCAGCAGCUUAACAUCCUUCGGGCCAGACAACUACCAGAGUCCUGAUGGCAUAGCUUAGACUUGUAGCAGCUAAGUGCCAUAAUCUCACAGCGCAAGUAGCUUGCUGACAAAGCAGACAGACGAACGUGUUGGAGCCGUGUUAACA